UACAGGGGGUGCAAACGUUGCUCGGAAUCAUUGGGCGUAAAGCGCACGUAGGCGGUUCGUUAUGUCGGAUGUGAAAGCCCUUGGCUUAACCGAGGAAGUGCAUCCGAAACUGGCGAGCUAGAGUACUAAAGAGGAUCGCGGAAUUCCACGUGUAGCGGUGAAAUGCGUAGAGAUGUGGAGGAACACCAGUGGCGAAGGCGCUUUCUGGUCUGUAACUGACGCUGAGGCGCGAAAGCGUGGGGAGCAAACAGG
This 252-nucleotide ribosomal RNA is filed under the name uncultured bacterium. RNAcentral's name for it is "partial 16S ribosomal RNA". It matches the Rfam family "Bacterial small subunit ribosomal RNA", at positions 524 to 776 of the family's 1533-position model. The record is from RNAcentral.